Non-coding RNA from Malus domestica (apple), 1138 nucleotides. The record is from RefSeq and is a predicted model, not a curated record. NCBI's taxonomy places the organism in Eukaryota, Viridiplantae, Streptophyta, Magnoliopsida, Rosales, Rosaceae.
UUUACAUUUAUGCCACCUCAAAUCAAGGGAUGUGAGAGAGAGACAGAAACGCACCCAUUUGGCUUCGAUUCCCCUUUCUCAAACCCUAGCAGGCACAACACCAUCUCUGGAGUAGCAUCGGCUCCUGCUUCCUAAAACCAAAACACACUUCCCCUUCGCAGGUUGGGGACGAGGACGAACGACGAAUCCGGACUGAGUCAGCUCGGCCGCCGCCGCAACCCGCUCAUCGUCUUCGUUUCGCUUCAAAUAUCCGAGCUUUUCUACAUGUCGGUGAAGUACAAAUUUCUUCCAUAACUCUCGAUUCAACCUCAUCUCUUCUCAUUCGGUAAGAUUAUUACACUACUUUUAAGAGAAUUGAAACUUGAAAGAUUCAAACUUUUGGAUGGUCGAGAAUCUGGAUUUUGUGCAGAAAAGAAAAACAGGGCUGUUCAGUGUUUAUCUGUACUGGUUUGUCUUGCGGAAUUAUUAUUUCAAAUGAAGCUGUCGGCCAGCUUCUGUUUUUUCCUCCAGUCUGCUGCUUCAAUCAGAAAAAUGCCAAAAGAAAAGGAAGGCUACUUCUUAUCCUUAUUUUCUUCCCCAAAACAGGGAACAAACACAAAGAUUUUAUUUAGCCGAAAGUGAAUUUGGCCACAUAUUCAACAGUUUUUGCAGAAAAAUGAUGAAUGUGCAGCAAAGCAAUCAGCGGUAUGGGCUGCACUGAGAGAAGGAAGGGGGACAGAAGGGUUGACAGGUUGGAGGGAGAAGUUCGCCGGGAUUUAGGGGAGAGGAUUUUCGGCAGUGAGGUGCGGGUGGCUGUGGCUGUGGCUGAUGCAUCGGUCAGAGGGUUGUUGGGGGGACGAGAGGAGGGGGACAAAGGGACUGACAGAUUGGAGGAGGGUAUGGGUUUUCAGUUUUCAGUUUUUUUCCCCUGAUUCUGAUUCAAUAGGUGAACCAUAUGGACGUUUUUGAGAAACAGAGAGCUUCGUCCACUGGAAUGUGGAAUUGAUAGCAGCAGGUCAAUCCCCAAUUUUUAUGACAGCCUUCGCACUUGGGAUACACUUUCAAGUGAUCUUGAGGGUCCUCGGGUAGGAUGUAUUAUAUCUUUCCAGUAUAGACUGAAGAGUGUUUCAAAGCAUGAAAUAAAAACAAUUUGGCUUUU